Molecule: long non-coding RNA, 2089 nt
Organism: Parus major (Great Tit)
Lineage: Eukaryota; Metazoa; Chordata; Aves; Passeriformes; Paridae
Exons: 3
Source: RefSeq, a predicted model, not a curated record
CGCCGCUGCUGCACCGUCCGGGCGCCGGGGUUGUCCCGGCCCCAUCAAGGCCGGGCCGCACCGAGGGGGCCGCGGAGGGAGCGGGGCCGCUCCCCGCGGCGGCUGGUGGCCAUCUUAGUCCUCCUCCUCGGCGCCGAGUGCCCCCUCCCCGCCCGGCUGCCAGCGCUGCCUCCUCCCUCCGCUCCUCCUCCUCCUUCUCCUCCCACUGCUCCCGGCUGGCUGCGGUCGCUCCCGCAGCCCGGCGAGGCCGCCCGCGGAAAGCUGGUUGGUGCUGGCAGGCCGCGGGCCCGUUCCUUAGUUUUGGGGCUUUGUGCAAUUAUCUUACUUUUUGCAGUGGUGGGUUUGGGUUCUCCCCGUUCUCUGACAGAAUUCCUGCUCCUCUAGCGCUAACCGCCCGUGUCCUCUGCCCUCUACCCCCCUGCCACAGGCCCGAGCAGCUGGCACGCGAGAAGAAGCCGUCCCGGGCAGGAACUUGGAUGUGUGAUGAGGAAGGGAAUGCAGGUCUAUGCCGGAGCAAAUAACCCACCCUUGAGCUGGGCUUGAGUUGCUUUCCUUUUCGCUCUUUGUCAAGUGUGCAUCUAGGGAAAGUCCACUGGAUAUCCCUAGUGCCGACCAGAAAGAGGAUUGUGUGUCUGUGCUGACCAACCGGUCUCAUCUGAAUGAUCCAGAUGUUUAAACAGAAAUAGUUACCCUUUUCCUACUUAACCCAGAAGUUGUGUUAAAUUCCCAGCAGCUGAAGGACACCUUUUUGUCUGCAGGACAAGACAUCAGUUUAGCCAGGUGCUGGGCACACAGUGCAGGGGGUCACUGCAACCUCAAGGCAAGCUUCAUCCAUGUGGACACUCCUGAGGAGCAGUGCAAAGGGCAUGAUGUUCUGAGGGCACUCACCAUGUUUUGUAUGCAUCUUGUAGCAAUGUAUCCACAGAAGGAAAGGUGCAUUCUCCAGCCAUGCCAGUCUAGAAGCAAAAAUACAAUGAACUCUGCUAGGCAGAAUUUGACCCCGUUUGGUGUUUUCAUUCUGAACUGCAGCAAAGGGAAGCACUGAUUCCAUCAGCUUGUUCCAACAGUUAUUUCACUUACUGUGCAAGAUGCAGCCUGUGAACGGUACAUAGCAGUUACACUUCACAAAACAAACAAUCUUCUUCCUGUAAUUUAUGUGUAGGAGGAGACUUGCAUCUUUCUUAGGUAAAGGUUUAGCAGGACCUAUGUGAGCCAGCUCUACUGAGUAAGAAUUAAAGAUAACAGAGAUGGUGCUGUUCCUAAUUCCUUGUAAGUAGUGGGAAAGAGGCAAAAUCCCCCAGGAUGGCAGUGGGAGUUGUAGGGACAGCUCUAUGCUAUGCCAGAUACACGUUUUGCUGCAUGGCAAGUUACGUUGGUUUUUUUUCUUCUUGUGCAGCUAAUGCUCAUUGCAUUCCUAUUUAUAGUUCCCAUUUUUCAGUCAGUUGUCACAGUUCCAAAAUAAAUAAUGGCAAACUGUAAUGUUCCAUACUGAGUGACACCAGACACUCUUUUUACCUUCUCAGCAUCUCUCCUCUUGUAAAGCUCAUCACAGGCACCUGCUUGUCUUUCUCAGAGAAGGUGCGAAAUAGUAAUUACAGUGCUAUAGUUAGACAAAAGAAAGCAUUUACAGUUAAUCUUUCUUCCACUUUGUGAAGCAACUGUGCACAAGGGAUUGCAUCAAUCAUUAAAAAAUGUGGAGAUAUAUUUAAAUUUCUUUGCGUCCUUUUUUAGAGGGUAAGGUGAAACCAACACAAUUAUCUUCCAGUGGUGCAAUGUCACUCUGCUUUCAGGUGAGAUGCUCAUAUACUUCCAUUGCAUUUAUUUCACACAUCUCGGGCAUAAAGCUACAUCUGUCCUCUUUGCAUAUACUGGCAAAGUACAGGCAAAUCCAGAACUGGAAAGAAAUUGCUACAAGAAAGUGAACUAAAAUGGAAGGAAUUUUAGUCUUUUUUUUUUGUCUUUUUUUUUUUAAUUAGAAUUUUUUUAACAUAAGAAAAUAACACUGCUUCCCAAGUUUACACCGCCUAAUGUUUUAAUCACACAGGGUUCUUAAUACUUCCUCUGAGAAUUACUCUUCCCUUCCUCCUUC